CCCCCAAAUUUUUUUUUCUCCUUUUUUAACCAGGUUUUCCUCAGGAAAAAACUGGUUAUUAGAUUGGCGAAUGCGGGCGGGCUGGCUGGCUGGCUGGCGGGCUGGCUGGCUGGCGGGCUGGCGGAAUAAGCUUGUCCGGGCCAUAACUAUGUCGUUCAUUGUCAGAAUUUAAAAUCAUUUGGCACAUUUGUUCACCAUCAUUGGACGGUGUGUCGCGCGAAAUAAUUACGUCGAUAUCUCCAAGGUCAAGGUCACACUUUGAGUUCAAAGGUCAAAAAUGGCCAUAAAUGAGCUUGUCCUGGCCAUAACUAUGUCAUUCAUUGUGAGAUUUUAAAAUCAUUUGGCACAUUUGUUCACCAUCAUGGGACGGUGUGUCCCACGAAAGAAUCACGUCAAUAUCUCCAAUGUCAAGGUCGCCACGACUAAAAAUAGAUUUAAAAAAAAAAAAAAUUACAAAGGGGGUUAAUUUUUUUUGGUCAUUUCAAAAGUUCAGUUUGAGUUUUCUCCCUUUAUCAGAUUUUUUUUUCACAAUGAAAACCUGGUUUUGUGACAAUUUUGUCCCUUGUUUAUUUUUGAAAUAAUAAUAAAUGACCACACCCCACAUUUUACCCCCUCUCAACCCCCCCCCCCCCCCCCAAAAAAAAAAUAAAAAAAAAUUUCCUUUUUUAUUUUUGAAAGAUCGUCUAAUAAAUUAUUGAAUAUGAACAAUUUCCCCAUGAUGGCUUACGUUAUAAUGUCAAGCACUCGAAUAGUUGAGCGCGCUGUCCUCUGACAGCUCUUGUUUAUGUCCCCCACCACUCCACCACUAUAUUCGGAGACAUAUUGUUUUUGCCCUUUCUGUUGGUUGGUUUGUUUGCCCAAACUUUAACAUUUUGCAAUAACUUUUGCUAUAUUGAAGAUAGCAACUUCAUAUUUGGCAUGCAUGUGUAUCUCAUGGAGCUGCACAUUUUGAGUGGUGAAAGGUCAAGGUCAUCCUUCAAGGUCAAAGGUCAAAAAAACUUAAUCAAAGCGGCGCAGAAGGGGACAUAGUGUUUUACAUCUCUUGUUUCGUUAUGUGAACACUGCAGGUAUUUGAAACAGCUUUUAUGUGCUUUGUGAAUAUAAAUGUGUUAUGUUUUGUUAGGCAUACAUGAAUUUUUGUGAACAAGAAAGCGUGUAGCAUGUUAAUAGUCAUUCAAAAAGACGGUUUACGACAACAGAUUUAUGUAAGCAAACACAAGUGAUAACCUGACAUGUAACAAGAUAUUAUGUCUAAAUAAAUUUGAAUAAAUUAUAUUAAAAUAAUGUACAUCUUAAAUAAAUUGAUAAUCAAC
Molecule: long non-coding RNA, 1313 nt
Organism: Dreissena polymorpha
Lineage: Eukaryota; Metazoa; Mollusca; Bivalvia; Myida; Dreissenidae
Exons: 2
Source: RefSeq, a predicted model, not a curated record